This 400-nucleotide long non-coding RNA is filed under the name Ananas comosus (pineapple). RNAcentral describes it as "long non-coding RNA (ACOM_LNC022144)". Lineage: Eukaryota; Viridiplantae; Streptophyta; Magnoliopsida; Poales; Bromeliaceae. The record is from RNAcentral.
AAUUGAAGGAAGUUACGGUAACCGCAAGCAGUUACAUGCGGUUCCGAUCGGCUGGAGGUGGUCCGAAAUAUGAGGAGAUAAUGGCCGAUCGUGUAAGAGCAAUAACUGAUCAGGGGGGCGAUCUAUAAAUAGGGUAAUAACACCCUAAAAAGAGGUCUCUUCCCUGCGAACAAAAGACCACCCUUAUUUUUCUGCAUCUUUCUUUCCUGCAUUUUCCACUUUUUCUAGGAGUAGUUCCUGUAACUUAGCAUCCCGGAGUCUGUCUGCCCUUUGGGCAUCACUCCGCUAUAGACUAAACCCCUUUUUCCUAUACUUUUCUCAUUCUACUUCAAUAGAAGGCAGUGUUCGGCUCUUCAGGCCGACCAGUUCCUGUGCUGAUUAGCUAUUCGGCUCAUUUCUU